UACGUAGGGGGCAAGCGUUGUCCGGAUUUAUUGGGCGUAAAGAGUGUGUAGGCGGCUUGGUAGGUCUCGCGUCAAAACCUGAGGCUCAACCUCAGUUCGCGUGGGAAACCACCUAGCUAGAGUCCGGAAGAGGAGAACGGAAUUCCCAGUGUAGCGGUGAAAUGCGCAGAUAUUGGGAAGAACACCAGUGGCGAAGGCGGUUCUCUGGGACGGUACUGACGCUGAGACGCGAAAGCGUGGGGAGCGAACAGG
This 252-nucleotide ribosomal RNA is filed under the name uncultured bacterium. Its description in RNAcentral is "partial 16S ribosomal RNA". It matches the Rfam family "Bacterial small subunit ribosomal RNA", at positions 524 to 776 of the family's 1533-position model. The record is from RNAcentral.